UCGGGGCCCAACCUCCCACCCGUGUUGCCCGAACCUAUGUUGCCUCGGCGGGCCCCGCGCCCGCCGACGGCCCCCCUGAACGCUGUCUGAAGUUGCAGUCUGAGACCUAUAACGAAAUUAGUUAAAACUUUCAACAACGGAUCUCUUGGUUCCGGCAUCGAUGAAGAACGCAGCGAAAUGCGAUAACUAAUGUGAAUUGCAGAAUUCAGUGAAUCAUCGAGUCUUUGAACGCACAUUGCGCCCUCUGGUAUUCCGGAGGGCAUGCCUGUCCGAGCGUCAUUGCUGCCCUCAAGCCCGGUUGGUGUGUUGGGCCCCGUCCCCCCCGCCGGGGGGACGGGCCCGAAAGGCAGCGGCGGCACCGCGUCCGGUCCUCGAGCGUAUGGGGCUUCGUCACCCGCUCUAGUAGGCCCGGCCGGCGCCAGCCGACCCCCAACCUUUAAUUAUCUCAGGUUGACCUCGGAUCAGGUAGGGAUACCCGCUGAACUUAAGCAUAUCAUA
RNAcentral lists this ribosomal RNA (498 nucleotides) under fungal sp. AM2013. Its description in RNAcentral is "eukaryotic LSU rRNA". The stretch from base 126 to 279 matches the Rfam family "5.8S ribosomal RNA". Lineage: Eukaryota; Fungi. The record is from RNAcentral.